RNAcentral lists this ribosomal RNA (453 nucleotides) under Streptococcus mitis. Its description in RNAcentral is "bacterial SSU rRNA". It matches the Rfam family "Bacterial small subunit ribosomal RNA", at positions 28 to 474 of the family's 1533-position model. The record is from RNAcentral. Lineage: Bacteria; Bacillati; Bacillota; Bacilli; Lactobacillales; Streptococcaceae.
GACGAACGCUGGCGGCGUGCCUAAUACUUGCAAGUAGAACGCUGAAGGAGGAGCUUGCUUCUCUGGAUGAGUUGCGAACGGGUGAGUAACGCGUAGGUAACCUGCCUGGUAGCGGGGGAUAACUAUUGGAAACGAUAACUAAUACCGCAUAAUAGCAGUUAUUGCAUGAUAACUGUUUGAAAGGUGCAAUUGCAUCACUACCAGAUGGACCUGCGUUGUAUUAGCUAGUUGGUGGGGUAACGGCUCACCAAGGCGACGAUACAUAGCCGACCUGAGAGGGUGAUCGGCCACACUGGGACUGAGACACGGCCCAGACUCCUACGGGAGGCAGCAGUAGGGAAUCUUCGGCAAUGGACGGAAGUCUGACCGAGCAACGCCGCGUGAGUGAAGAAGGUUUUCGGAUCGUAAAGCUCUGUUGUAAAGAGAAAGAAACGAGUGUGAGAAGUGGAAAAG